This 219-nucleotide ribosomal RNA is filed under the name uncultured bacterium. RNAcentral's name for it is "partial 16S ribosomal RNA". It matches the Rfam family "Bacterial small subunit ribosomal RNA", at positions 114 to 334 of the family's 1533-position model. The record is from RNAcentral.
UAUAUCGGAACGUGCCCAGUCGUGGGGGAUAACGCAGCGAAAGCUGUGCUAAUACCGCAUACGAUCUACGGAUGAAAGCGGGGGACUCGCAAGAGCCUCGCGCGAUUGGAGCGGCCGAUAUCAGAUUAGCUAGUUGGUGGGGUAAAAGCCCACCAAGGCGACGAUCUGUAGCUGGUCUGAGAGGACGACCAGCCACACUGGAACUGAGACACGGUCCAG